Molecule: ribosomal RNA, 737 nt
Filed under: uncultured Corynebacterium sp.
Lineage: Bacteria; Bacillati; Actinomycetota; Actinomycetes; Mycobacteriales; Corynebacteriaceae
Description: bacterial SSU rRNA
Rfam family: Bacterial small subunit ribosomal RNA
Source: RNAcentral
GACGAACGCUGGCGGCGUGCUUAACACAUGCAAGUCGAACGGAAAGGCCUGCAGCUUGCUGCGGGUACUCGAGUGGCGAACGGGUGAGUAACACGUGGGUGAUCUGCCUUGCACUUCGGGAUAAGCUUGGGAAACUGGGUCUAAUACCGGAUAGGACAGCUGUUUAGUGUCAGUUGUGGAAAGUUUUUUCGGUGCAAGAUGAGCUCGCGGCCUAUCAGCUUGUUGGUGGGGUAAUGGCCUACCAAGGCGUCGACGGGUAGCCGGCCUGAGAGGGUGUACGGCCACAUUGGGACUGAGAUACGGCCCAGACUCCUACGGGAGGCAGCAGUGGGGAAUAUUGCACAAUGGGCGGAAGCCUGAUGCAGCGACGCCGCGUGGGGGAUGAAGGCCUUCGGGUUGUAAACUCCUUUCGACAGGGACGAAGCUUUUGUGACGGUACCUGUAUAAGAAGCACCGGCUAACUACGUGCCAGCAGCCGCGGUAAUACGUAGGGUGCGAGCGUUGUCCGGAAUUACUGGGCGUAAAGAGCUCGUAGGUGGUUUGUCGCGUCGUCUGUGAAAUUCCGGGGCUUAACUCCGGGCGUGCAGGCGAUACGGGCUGACUUGAGUGCUGUAGGGGAGACUGGAAUUCCUGGUGUAGCGGUGAAAUGCGCAGAUAUCAGGAGGAACACCGAUGGCGAAGGCAGGUCUCUGGGCAGUAACUGACGCUGAGGAACGAAAGCAUGGGUAGCGAACAGG